CACGAGGGGCGCCCCGAACGGGGCUGAGACGGCGAGGGCCGAACCCUUUGAACCUGAUCCGGGUCAUGCCGGCGAAGGGACGUGGAC
Molecule: non-coding RNA, 87 nt
Filed under: uncultured Roseiarcus sp.
Lineage: Bacteria; Pseudomonadati; Pseudomonadota; Alphaproteobacteria; Hyphomicrobiales; Roseiarcaceae
Description: TPP riboswitch (THI element)
Rfam family: TPP riboswitch aptamer (THI element)
About the family: Vitamin B(1) in its active form thiamin pyrophosphate (TPP) is an essential coenzyme that is synthesised by coupling of pyrimidine and thiazole moieties in bacteria. The previously detected thiamin-regulatory element, thi box was extended, resulting in a new, highly conserved RNA secondary structure, the THI element, which is widely distributed in eubacteria and also occurs in some archaea. Analysis of operon structures identified a large number of new candidate thiamin-regulated genes, mostly transporters, in various prokaryotic organisms.
Source: RNAcentral